This 480-nucleotide ribosomal RNA is filed under the name Mucor sp. AQGS 4. RNAcentral's name for it is "eukaryotic LSU rRNA". The stretch from base 1 to 98 matches the Rfam family "5.8S ribosomal RNA", at positions 56 to 154 of the family's 154-position model. Lineage: Eukaryota; Fungi; Mucoromycota; Mucoromycetes; Mucorales; Mucoraceae. The record is from RNAcentral.
CGAUAACUAGUGUGAAUUGCAUAUUCAGUGAAUCAUCGAGUCUUUGAACGCAACUUGCGCUCAUUGGUAUUCCAAUGAGCACGCCUGUUUCAGUAUCAAAACAAACCCUCUAUCCAACUUUUGUUGAAUAGGAUGACUGAGAGUCUCUUGAUCUAUUCUGAUCUUGAACCUCUUGAAAUGUACAAAGGCCUGAUCUUGUUUGAAUGCCUGAACUUUUUUUUAAUAUAAAGAGAAGCUCUUGCGAUAAAACUGUGCUGGGGCCUCCCAAAUAACACAUCUUUAAAUUUGAUCUGAAAUCAGGUGGGAUUACCCGCUGAACUUAAGCAUAUCAAUAAGCGGGAGGAAGGAAGAUCAUUAAAUAAUCAAUAAUUUUGGCUUGUCAUCAUUAUCUAUUUACUGUGAACUGUAUUAUUACUUGACGCUUGAGGGAUGUUCAUUGCUAUAAGGAUAGGCAUUGGAAAUGUUAACGAGUCAUAAUCA